This 334-nucleotide long non-coding RNA is filed under the name Androctonus crassicauda. The record is from RNAcentral. Lineage: Eukaryota; Metazoa; Arthropoda; Arachnida; Scorpiones; Buthidae.
GAGAAGGUCAUGCACAAUUUAUAAUGCUUUAAGGAAUGAUAAAGAGAUGAUAAAUAUGCAAGAAAAAGCUGGAGUGUAUGAGAUCCCUCCCAGAAAUCUUGAUCAGCAGAAAGAUGAACUGUAUAUUGGAGCAACAACUAGGAAUCUUACAAAAAAGGAUCUUAGAGCAUAAAAAUGAUGUUAAUAAAGCUAACAUGAGGACUGCCUUCUCAAAACGAGCAUAUGAGAAUGAUCUAUUAAUUGAUUGGGAUAAUUUUAGAAUAAUCAAGCAAGGCCUAAACGACAAGGAGUUGCCUAUAGCUGAGUCAAUUCAGAUUUACAAAGAUAGACGGAC